AUUCGGUUGACGAGUCCUAAAUAGGAUGAAACACGUGUCAUGGAU
This is a non-coding RNA of Schistosoma curassoni, 45 nucleotides long. Lineage: Eukaryota; Metazoa; Platyhelminthes; Trematoda; Strigeidida; Schistosomatidae. The record is from Rfam.